RNAcentral lists this ribosomal RNA (616 nucleotides) under uncultured bacterium. RNAcentral's name for it is "bacterial SSU rRNA". It matches the Rfam family "Bacterial small subunit ribosomal RNA", at positions 53 to 668 of the family's 1533-position model. The record is from RNAcentral.
ACAUGCAAGUCGAACGAAGCACCUGAGAAUGAUUCUUCGGAUGAAGUCUCUUGUGACUGAGUGGCGGACGGGUGAGUAACGCGUGGGUAACCUGCCUCACACAGGGGGAUAACAGUUGGAAACGACCGCUAAUACCGCAUAAGCCGCCGGUGCCGCAUGGCACUGACGGAAAAGAUUUUAUCGGUGUGAGAUGGACCCGCGUCUGAUUAGCCAGUUGGCAGGGUAACGGCCUACCAAAGCGACGAUCAGUAGCCGGCCUGAGAGGGUGAACGGCCACAUUGGGACUGAGACACGGCCCAGACUCCUGCGGGAGGCAGCAGUGGGGAAUAUUGCACAAUGGGGGAAACCCUGAUGCAGCGACGCCGCGUGAGUGAAGAAGUAUUUCGGUAUGUAAAGCUCUAUCAGCAGGGAAGAAAAUGACGGUACCUGAUUAAGAAGCCCCGGCUAACUACGUGCCAGCAGCCGCGGUAAUACGUAGGGGGCAAGCGUUAUCCGGAUUUACUGGGUGUAAAGGGAGCGUAGACGGUGNAUGCAGUCAGAAGUGAAAGCCCGGGGCUCAACUCCGGGACUGCUUUUGAAACUGUGUGACUGGAGUGCANGAGAGGUAAGCGGAAUU